This 574-nucleotide ribosomal RNA is filed under the name uncultured bacterium. Its description in RNAcentral is "bacterial SSU rRNA". It matches the Rfam family "Bacterial small subunit ribosomal RNA", at positions 99 to 687 of the family's 1533-position model. The record is from RNAcentral.
CGGACGGGUGAGUAACGCGUGAGGAACCUGCCUUGGAGAGGGGAAUAACACUCCGAAAGGAGUGCUAAUACCGCAUAAUGCAGUUGGGUCGCAUGGCUCUGACUGUCAAAGAUUUAUCGCUCUGAGAUGGCCUCGCGUCUGAUUAGCUAGUAGGCGGGGUAACGGCCCACCUAGGCGACGAUCAGUAGCCGGACUGAGAGGUUGACCGGCCACAUUGGGACUGAGACACGGCCCAGACUCCUACGGGAGGCAGCAGUGGGGAAUAUUGGGCAAUGGGCGCAAGCCUGACCCAGCAACGCCGCGUGAAGGAAGAAGGCUUUCGGGUUGUAAACUUCUUUUGUCGGGGACGAAACAAAUGACGGUACCUGACGAAUAAGCCAUGGCUAACUACGUGCCAGCAGCCGCGGUAAUACGUAGGUGGCAAGCGUUAUCCGGAUUUACUGGGUGUAAAGGGCGUGUAGGCGGGAUUGCAAGUCAGAUGUGAAAACUGGGGGCUCAACCUCCAGCCUGCAUUUGAAACUGUAGUUCUUGAGUGCUGGAGAGGCAAUCGGAAUUCCGUGUGUAGCGGUGAAAU